AUUGAACGCUGGCGGAAUGCUUUACACAUGCAAGUCGAGCGGCAGCGCGGGGCAACCUGGCGGCGAGCGGCGAACGGGUGAGUAACACAUCGGAACGUGCCCAGACGUGGGGGAUAGCCCGGCGAAAGCCGGAUUAAUACCGCAUGUGAUCUGAGGAUGAAAGUGGGGGACCGCAAGGCCUCACGCGUUUGGAGCGGCCGAUGGCAGAUUAGGUAGUUGGUGGGGUAAAGGCUUACCAAGCCUGCGAUCUGUAGCUGGUCUGAGAGGAUGAUCAGCCACACUGGGACUGAGACACGGCCCAGACUCCUACGGGAGGCAGCAGUGGGGAAUUUGGACAAUGGGCGCAAGCCUGAUCCAGCCAUUCCGCGUGCAGGACGAAGGCCUUCGGGUUGUAAACUGCUUUGUUACGGAACGAAGGGCUCUCUCUAAUACAGGGGGCAUAUGACGGUACCGUAAGAAUAAGCACCGGCUAACUACGUGCCAGCAGACCCGG
RNAcentral lists this ribosomal RNA (493 nucleotides) under uncultured bacterium. RNAcentral describes it as "bacterial SSU rRNA". It matches the Rfam family "Bacterial small subunit ribosomal RNA", at positions 29 to 520 of the family's 1533-position model. The record is from RNAcentral.